This 273-nucleotide long non-coding RNA is filed under the name Manihot esculenta (cassava). Its description in RNAcentral is "long non-coding RNA (MESC_LNC006003)". The record is from RNAcentral. Lineage: Eukaryota; Viridiplantae; Streptophyta; Magnoliopsida; Malpighiales; Euphorbiaceae.
UAUUCGUGAUGCAGUGUCAAGAACCAAGAUCUCUCUUAAGCUCUCAAAGAAGAAUCGCAUAAAGCAAUUGUAUUGAAUAAUUGAUAAUCUGUCUACAAUAUGAAAAAAAAGAUGCUUUAUAUAACAUAAAUAAAGACCCAUGACCUUUGCCACUUCCCACUACUAUGCAUGGACCCAUGAUCUAUGCCACUACCCACUACUCUGCAUGGAUCCAUGAUCUAUGCCACUAUCCACUACUGGAUAACUACCCACUACUGUUUAACUACCCACUAC